Pseudopodoces humilis (Tibetan ground-tit) is the source of this 277-nucleotide non-coding RNA. Lineage: Eukaryota; Metazoa; Chordata; Aves; Passeriformes; Paridae. The record is from RefSeq and is a predicted model, not a curated record.
UUUACCCUGGCUUUUAGCCUGGGUGGCUACGAGAGCCUGGCAGAGCAUCCGGCCAUCAUGACCCACGCCUCAGUGCCUGAGAAGGAAAGGAAAGCUCUGGGAAUCACUGACACCUUGAUCCGCCUCUCGGUGGGGCUGGAGGAUGAGGAGGAUUUGAUCAAAGACCUGGACCAGGCCCUGGAGGCUGCGUUUAAAUAAACCUUGGGGGUCAAAAAGGAACUUGGAACUGGACAUGGCUGUGGACAAGGACACGGAAAACCAAACCUCUCUUGCUUUG